Molecule: non-coding RNA, 46 nt
Organism: Nematostella vectensis (starlet sea anemone)
Lineage: Eukaryota; Metazoa; Cnidaria; Anthozoa; Actiniaria; Edwardsiidae
Source: Rfam
ACAACGGCUCUUUUAGGAGCCACCACUUGUAAUAAAAGUGUUUGAU